Molecule: unclassified non-coding RNA, 687 nt
Filed under: Hevea brasiliensis (rubber tree)
Lineage: Eukaryota; Viridiplantae; Streptophyta; Magnoliopsida; Malpighiales; Euphorbiaceae
Source: RNAcentral
UUCACAUUUUUUUUUGAUGAUAUAUGCUUGCCCAACAAAGAAAUCAGUGACAAAUUUAUGCUUGCAAUUGUCUUUUAAUUAUACAAUUAGACAAGAAAUUAUAUGAAUGCCUGUUCUUUAGACCUUUCUUCAGCAGGGUUCAGAAUAUGCGUCAUCAUUCUUCAUCAAAGAAUCGUCAACUAAAGCUUGCGAAAUCAACAAGCUUGGCCAAUUUUCUGUAUGCUGGCCUGGCUCUAUGUUAGACAUCCAGAGAAGAGGUUCGCAAUAAUAAAUGAAGCCGAACGAGUACCUAAGAAUCAAUCUUUGAUAGCUAAUGCGAAAAAAAGACAGCAGGGUUCACCACUCCACAUGUAUCCAUAAUAGCAAGUAUUCUGCCAAAUGUCGCCGUUCUGCUCCAAGGGCAUAGCAUGUUCUGGCUUUGAUAGCGAAACAAAUAACAGGCGACACGCCCCAUUUCCAGACUAGAGUUUUGCUACUGCCUAGCUGGUUGGUCUAUCCCAAUCACAUGAAUAAAGGGUUUCGACUUCAUUCCUAUACAACAAUUGGCUGCUUACUUGGUCUAUACUCUAUACCACAACAUCCAAUUCUAGUGUUAGCACUGAUGUUGAGGUAAUCUAAAUGCUUCCAACCAAAACUAGCUGGUAAACAUAUCCAUCGUGCAUGAACGUCUGGCAAUGACAGCGACGG